AAGCCAGACUCCUACGGGAGGCAGCAGUGGGGGAUAUUGCACAAUGGGGGAAACCCUGAUGCAGCGACGCCGCGUGGGUGAAGAAGUAUUUCGGUAUGUAAAGCCCUAUCAGCAGGGAAGAAAGAAGACGGUACCUGACUAAGAAGCCCCGGCUAACUACGUGCCAGCAGCCGCGGUAAUACGUAGGGGGCGAGCGUUAUCCGGAUUCACUGGGUGUAAAGGGAGCGUAGACGGCCAUGCAAGCCAGGGGUGAAAGCCCGGGGCCCAACCCCGGGACUGCCCUUGGAACUGCAUGGCUGGAGUGCGGGAGGGGCAGGCGGAAUUCCUGGUGUAGCGGUGAAAUGCGUAGAUAUCAGGAGGAACACCGGCGGCGAAGGCGGCCUGCUGGACCGCGACUGACGUUGAGGCUCGAAAGCGUGGGGAGCGAACAGGAUUAGAUACCCGAGUAC
RNAcentral lists this ribosomal RNA (449 nucleotides) under uncultured bacterium. RNAcentral describes it as "bacterial SSU rRNA". It matches the Rfam family "Bacterial small subunit ribosomal RNA", at positions 328 to 793 of the family's 1533-position model. The record is from RNAcentral.